RNAcentral lists this long non-coding RNA (6644 nucleotides) under Aquilegia coerulea. RNAcentral's name for it is "long non-coding RNA (ACOE_LNC001677)". The record is from RNAcentral. Lineage: Eukaryota; Viridiplantae; Streptophyta; Magnoliopsida; Ranunculales; Ranunculaceae.
UAUUGCGAGCGACUGUAAACACCAAUGCACUUGUCCUUCAGUGAGUCUUGGAUCACAAUGAGGGCCGCCGACAUGGACAUGGCUACUACGAGCGAUCCAACCUAAAGCCCAAGUCCAAAAACUCAAAAAAAAAAAUUAGUCCAGAAAAAGACCAACUUUGAAGCCCAAACUUCAAGCCCAUUAUCAGCCCAAAAAAAACCCAUCUGUAAGCUGCUUUUGAUCAUGUAAAAUUGUAAAAACUAUUGAAUUGGAUUAAGUUUUGAUAUGAAACUAAAUAUUGUCAAGAUCAAAUGCCAAUAAAAACCUAACGCGAUUUCGGGUUUCAAUCCCCAUCCUGUUGAAAAGAAUGGUUUAGCUAACAAGAUCUAUCAAAAGGGCCCAAUGGAACUGUACAAUGUACUUGGUUGAUAACUAAAUACCCUUUCUGUUAAUCGAAUUAUAUUGUUAAUGACUAAGAUUAAAGAUAAUAAUUGGAUUCGAUUCGUAUAAUACAAGGCAUCAGUUAACCUAUUAGUCAGACUUUGCAUGCAUUAUUUAGUUGGCAUAUCAUAAUCACAUAUAUAUAUGGUUCAACAAGAAAAUUUUGGAUCAUUAAAAAUGUUUAUAGGAUUUAUAAUCAAAUCAGUCACUCAGAUUCUGACAGAUUCAUGGAUAAACAACAAUCAAUUCAGUGUCGAUUUUCAUAAUUCAAUCCUUAAAUCAUUACCAAAAAAAAAAAAAAAAAAAAAAAAAUCCUUAAACAUCAACAAUAUCUUUAUUUCUAGUUUUCUACUCAUCAUGGUGACAGAUUCUGAUGUAUUCAUGGUGACGAAAUUCGACACUGAUGCCUUAUAAUAUAUUAAUAUAGUGUAAUACUCUAGUAUUAUCGGUAAUUAAACUCGAAUUUCCGACAGUAUAAUUGGCUUUACACAAUCAAAAUUUCUGUACUAUGAAUAGGUGCUCCAUACAAUGUUUGGAUUUAAAAAUUUCAAACAGAUCUACUGCUACGUAAGAAUUGCAAAAUGACACCAAACUCUAACAGGAAAAUAUGCUUCACAGAUCAUGUUCUAAUAUUCAAAAACAUUCUAUCUUAUCUAAUGUCGAAAUCAUAUGGUUUUCAAUUAAUGGUAUGACCCUAUAUGGCUAUAUGUCCCUACCUUGUUGAUCAAUUAUGAUAAAACUAUAUAAUAAAAACUAUAUUCUCAUUAUAGUAGCUUACCUCACUACCAAAAAAAAAAAAAUUAUAGUAGCUUACCCAUAAUUUUCCCACUUUGAAUUUUUAAUUUCAUAAGAUCAUCCACCUUCUAACAAAUAAUCAAAAUUAUAAUAAAAAGUGUAACACCUAAUCAAUUCUGAGUGGUAUUGCUGUUUAAGUAAGCUUUCUACUCAAGUAAAGUCAUCUAAUAUGGGCCAUGGAGUAAGAAAGUGUUCAUCUCUUCAUCAUCAAAGAUUCUAAACCAAAAGAAAAAUAUAAAUAGUUAAAUACCAUUCAAAGUAACAAAGGGAUAUAUAUUAAGUAAAAAUUUCAACCUUUAGUUACAAGAGAUAAACUCUAUUCAAAGUUGUCAAGUGAGAAAAAUAUGGGAAAGUUAGAAAAACAAAGACAAAAGCAAUUGAACAACAAUAAAGCAUUUGUUGUUGGUGUUGGAAGGAAGAGGGGGUAAAGAGAGAAGGGAACUGGAUUCUUCUCUUCUCUUCUCCUUCCUUUACUUUUUUUUUUUGCCAAGAAGCAGCUUUGUGAAAGCUGGGCUGAAAGCUUGAAGACAGACUAAGGUAGUAAAUCCUUUUCAAUUAUACUUGUAUACUCUUCUAUUGCUAUAAACAACCUUAAAUUGCUUAGAAGUAGUCCAUUACAUACUUGAUCUGGAGAAAAACUAGCAACUAAAGUUUUCUUUCAAUUUUCUUGUUUCUAUGUUUUUCCUAUUGUUCUUUUCCAUCAUGUUCUUGUGCAUGAAUAUCUCUUAAAUUCUGUGACAAUUAAGAUAAGUUUUUUUUUUAACUGAUCUAUUUAAAUAAUUUAAUAAAGGGCACUAAUUUAGUUCCUAAAGCAUCUCUAUGUCUUUGCUCAUAUGUCUUCACAUAGAACUUCUCAUAUUCCUUGUGCUUCUUCAGUGAAAGUAGUUAUACUUCCUCUGCACAAACAAAUGGCAGGAAAUUGUCUGAGGAAAAAGAUCUAAAGCUUGAAGAACCUCAACAACAUACUAUUUAACGAAUACAAGUUAUGUCGUAUAUACUCAAGAAUUGUGAUGUAGAAGCUAAAAUGCUUUGUAGUUUACUCGAAAGUGAUUUUAGACACUACAUCCCCCUACACCGUGGUAUUGGGUUGGAACCUGAUAUGCCCUGGUGUGGUUUAAUUAGGUUCAUAGUGAUAUGAAAGCUUUUGCUUAUUUACUUCGCCGUGGUUUAAUUAGGUUCAUAGUGGGUUGGAACAGAUUCUGACACUUCAAUUGCAUUUUUUUCUUUUUUUUGUUAAUUCUAUUUAUUGCAAGUAUUUGUAAAUGCUCUGGGUUUCUCCACAUGUUAAAUUUUAUUACUCAUGAACUCCAUGUCAGAUUGCCGAACCCCAAGCCAUUUAUUUAAGUCAGGAUCUAGAGCCUCCAAAUGUUAGAUUUUACAACCCCAGAUCACAUAUUCUAGAAUCAAAGCAAAAAUGAAUCAAUAGGAAUGAUCAGCAUAAUUCUGUUUGCUUACAAUGUUACCUUUAUCCAUCCAUGUCUCUUGUAGCUCCUUCUUGGCAUACACAAAUUUAACCGAUCUAGGUAAGUGGAAUUGUUCAUCCCCUGAUCUACAAUUUCCGCAUAGUAUAUUGGUUCUGCUUUUCACACCACAAAGUCACAUAACAGCCUGUGGUCAGAUGGAUAUUGAAUUUUAAGGAUAAUAGUUUAGUAGCUAACAGCACGUUGUUGUGCGUGACUGUGUCGUGCAAAAAGACGACUAUAACAUUUAUGCAGACCACGACCAGCUAAGCCCCCACAUAUUUCUACUUUUAGACAUCCUCUCAAAAAAAAAAAAAAAAAGGUUGCAUUCUGUAUUUUGUUUAUGUGUAUAAUAUAUAUGGUCAUCAUAGAUUAAAUUAUAAAAUGACAGUUAGUUCUCUGUUUAUCUGGUCAUCAUUAUAAAAUGAAGAGUUGUACUUGUACCCUGUCUUGUUAUAUAGUGGUUGUUUAUCUGGACAUCUUAGAUUUUAUAAUCCAACAUAGAUAGAUUUCUUACUUUGCAGGUGGAGUGGUGAUAAUAAUGCUAGACACAUGGGGAAGAAAGUGAGUUGGUUUUCAGCUAUCAAGAAGGCUUUCACACCAAAUUCCAAAGAAAAGUUAGUCAAUGUAAGUUGAACUGUCAUAAUAUGUACCAGGAGCUAAGUACCUAUCCUUCUUGCUUCUACUCAAAGCAAUUUUUCAGAUUUAGGUUGGCAGCAAGAAAAAUAGACUAAACUUGAUUAAUCUAGAUGUUGAUAGUUUGCAAAACUUUUGAUUUACCUUUUUCCGGGAAAGUACAAUAUGUAUUUGCAACUAUGUAUUGGAAUAAAGCUUUUCUAAACUACAUCAAAUGUCAAUAUCUUAAUGCUUCUACAGGAAAAUGAGGCUGAGAAGAAAAUUUUUAAGAAGUGGGGACUAGGGAAAAUAAAGCAUGGAGGGACCCCGUCAUUUAUCUACAGAAAACCAAGCAGUAUCGAAAAAAUACUUGGUGAUGCCGAAAAGGAGCAACAGCUUAUACAACCUGUGGUUUCUUAUGAUGGACGGAGGACACCACCUUUACCUACCAGAUCAUUUGAUGAACGGAGGACACCACCUAUACCUACCAGAUCAAAUGAUGAACGGAGGACGCCACCUAUACCUACCAGAUCAAAUGAUGAGCGGAGGACGCCACCUAUACCUACCAGAUCAUAUGAUGAACGGAGGACGCCACCUAUACCUAUCAGAUCGUAUAAUCAUAAUGCUGAAGUUAACUACAACCACACUCCAAAGAACCCACAGAUUUCAGCAAUCAAGAUUCAAGCAGCUUAUAGAGGUUACACGGUAAUGACAGGUCUACUGCUUUCAGGUUAUGAUUACAUUAGAAUUAGGACCAUUAAGAGUAAAAGUACAAUAUGAAUGUUGACAUUAGAUAAAGGUUUAUGUGAAUAGUUGUUGGCUUUGGAAAAUGAGUUUGUGAUUUAUUUGGUACAGGCUAGAAGAAAUAUCAGGGCACUAAAGGGUAUGGUGAGACUUCAAGGAGUAGUUCGAGGGCAAAAUGUAAAGCGCCAGACAAUGAACGCGAUGAAACAAAUGCAACUCCUAACAAAAGUCCAGUCACAGAUACAGUUGAGAAGGAUUAACCUGUUGGAAAAGCAAGUUCUGCAGAACCAGAAUUUACGCAAGAAUGAUGGAGAACUAGAGAGUGGUUAUGGAAGGUGGUCCUUGUCACAACCAGUGAGUUUCCACCUAAAAAGUGCUCCUUUGAAUAUGCUCCCAAUCAUGAGAGCUCCACACAUGUUUUUUUCUAGGCAGAAACCUCUAGGACAAUCAAUCAAAAGAUUUUCAAAUUUUCCAAAAACACCUGCCAUGUAUUGCGGGAAGAGUUUUAUAUAGAAGUCCUAACUCCUAAGCACAGAGCAAAAGUUUUAGUCAUUUCCUUUUCUCAAAAUUGUCUCUGUUUUUUUUCCUUUCUUCUUCAAAUAGAUAACUAGAUAAAGUGCCACACAGUGUUAGAUCUUUUGUUAAAACUGGGCUUUUUGCAGAAAUUUUUUCCUUAAAGCAGUCUUCAAUUAUAAGCAAAAUGCUUAUGUUAAUUAUUAAACUAAGUGUGUACCAUGCAGUCUGAAAUAGGCCAAAGCGAUGAAUGGGAUGAUAGUGUGCUCACAAAAGAAGAAAUAGAUGCAAGGGUGCAAAGGAAGGCAGAGGCUCUAAUGAAGAGAGAAAGGAUAUUAGCAUAUUCUAAUUCCCAUCAGGUACUUGAAGAUCCUAUAUUCUCUAUAAGUUUAGGCAAGCUUACUCUGCAUAUACUCAUUUACAAACAGUGCGGAAAACUGUAAUGGUCUAUAAGUUCAGGCCAACUUUCCCCGAAUGCAGCAGUGAAAAACUAGAUUGCACUUGCAUCUAACUGCAUGCUCAGCUCCCCAAAUAAGCUAGUAAUCUAAACGACCUUUGAAAUUUGCUUAUAUGGUAUUAAGUGUCAAUGUAAUAUGUUUUUUCGUACUAGUGGCUUAAAGCGGGAUCAACUUUGAUGUCUCCAUUGGAGCUUCGGUUGGGAGCACUCCCUUGGUGGUGGAUAAGGAUAGAACAACAACUUCCCAAACACUCUCCCAUACCUACAAACUCAAAGAACAAAUCGAUGCAUCCCAGUCCGGCUUUGGAGCACAGUCCACGACCAAAGUCGAUACAAUCAAGGUUUGGAACUGAGAAUCUCAACUCGCUCACUCCAAGAUCUUCAAAAUCCCCAAUGGCAACAACAACAUCAAGAACAAAGCAUGAACCAAUCCUAUCAAAUAGAGUUCAACAAAGCAACACUUCAACUCCAGUAAAGCGUGCAAAUCCAAGGACUAAUGGGGAUGACUUCGGAUUUAGUUUGCCACUAAGAGAUGAUGACAGCUUCACAAGCUGCCCACCUCUUUCAAGACCAAACUACAUGACUCCAACCAUUUCUGCCAAAGCGAAGUUGAGAGCAUAUAACAAUCUAAAUCUGAACGAUAGAUCACCAGCAACUCCAACUCCAGGACAGAAAAGACGGUUCUCGCUUCCUCUGACUCAAAGUUUUGGUUCUUUAAGGUGGAAAAGAGCAUCAUCCAUAUUCUCAAACAAUGACUCCAGCUCCCAGAGAAAACAAGGCAACAACUACAGGUCCAUGUCCAUCCAGUCUAUAGGUAACUCGAGUGUGGAUUCUACCACUUCCAUGCCUGCAGCGCUUGGGAGAAAGCCCUUUAAUAGAUUUGUGUGAUUUUUCAUUUUUCUUUCUUAGUGUUAUAUAUUGGUUUUGUGUGGGGGUGUUUUGCUUGACAUGACAAUAACAAAGAUCUGUAAUGACAAAUUAUAUUACAUACACAUUUACAUUAAUGAAUAACCAAUGGUGUGCUAUUUGUUUAUUUAUUUAAAAUUUGAAGUAAUGCAGGUUAUUUUUAUUGCCGUACCAGGGAAUUUUUCCCCCUAAAAUAAACAUAUUGCGAAAAUUAUAUACGGACUCUAAAUAAAAACCAUACUAAGGGCUUGCUAAUAAAAAUUGAAAAUCAUAUUCAAGCAAAACUUAUAAACUACAAUGUUGAACAGCACACACUAACCUUUUGAUUGGCGUAAUCAUCAUCACUUGUGUUUCCCAAGCUCGGCUUCAAUUUCAGAAACAUAGUUGAAGUUCGUAGAAUAAACACCAGCUAUUUGCUGAUCAGUUUGUAUACUGUGGAAUUGUGAUUCGAGUUCCUGAACACCAUGUUUAAGCUCCUCAUUCUUUUCUGUGAUAUUCAGCUUCUUCUCUAUAGUGAUCUGCUUAACUUUGGCUUCAAGAUUCUCCAUCACUAAAUCAAGUUUACAAGUCACAUCACAACCAAUGUUAAUAGGGUUUAGUAGGUUUCUAACUAAAACCCAAAACGAUAAUUUCAUCAUUAGCUAGGAGAACUGGAGAAAAACAUAGUGUUGCUGACUUCCUGGUUUGCCUAACUGGAAUGGAAAUAUAGUGUGUUGAUUGCCUAAGAAGAAACA